Molecule: transfer-messenger RNA, 364 nt
Filed under: Microvirgula aerodenitrificans
Lineage: Bacteria; Pseudomonadati; Pseudomonadota; Betaproteobacteria; Neisseriales; Aquaspirillaceae
Description: Standard tmRNA
Rfam family: transfer-messenger RNA
About the family: Bacterial tmRNA, also known as 10Sa RNA or SsrA, is named for its dual tRNA and mRNA-like properties.
Source: Rfam by way of RNAcentral
GGGGACGACAUGGCUUCGACGGGGGUUGCAAAGCGGAUGAGGGCAUACCGGGAUCUCAGUCACCCCGUUAAACACUGAAUUUAUAUAGUCGCAAACGACGAAUCUUACGCUCUGGCUGCUUAAUUGCGCCAGACUCUACACUGUCUCGCCCAUCGGGCAGGCCGGGUCAAACCGGCAGUAGAGUCAUUUAGAUGGGAUCGUGUCGGACCGGGUCACUUGAUCCGGCACUAAAUCCAAGGUGACUCGCCAAUGUGCAGCCUGUCGGUCGGCGGUACAACGGUUAAAACCAAAUGGCCAGACUAAGUAUGUAGAACUCACCGUAGAGGACUUCCGGACGCGGGUUCGAUCCCCGCCGUCUCCACCA